Heterocephalus glaber (naked mole-rat) is the source of this 2262-nucleotide non-coding RNA. The record is from RefSeq and is a predicted model, not a curated record. Lineage: Eukaryota; Metazoa; Chordata; Mammalia; Rodentia; Bathyergidae.
UUUAAUGAUUAUUUUAAUAGACCAGGUUAAGUACCUGGAAGUGAAAAGAUGUAUGCCAAAUAAUUUCCUUAGCAUGUUAUAUAGAAGGUGAAUAUCAUUUUAUUUCCACCUUAAUAUAACUCCCACAGAAGUAUGUUUCUCACACAUCUUGAGUUGCUGAAGAGGUGUAAGUCACACACUAAAUCAUCUGGCCAUUAUUUCUCAGACUAGGGGAGAAAACAGCCCAUUGGAAAGGUGCCGAAAGUGUUUCAGACAUUAGAUAAAGCUUUGUCACAGAACUUGCAACCUUCAAUCCACACUUCACCCUGUCCAUUGUGAUUUUAAUCAUAAAUACAGUCUCACUACCCUGUUUCCUGCCUAAAACUUUGCAGAGUCUCACCACCACUGUAAUAACAGAGGUUUAGAAAUCAAAUGCUGGCAGAGGCCAGACACACAACCUGCGUGAGGAAAAUCUAGCCAGUAUAUCAAAGAGCUGCCGUACAAACCUGAUUGUUGCUUAAAGGAAUAUGCCAUAAUAUUGUAAAACCUUCUAAUCUUUUUUCCAAGAAAAGUUAGAGAUCUUGAUUUCAUGAGACAUCCUUUCAGCUUUUAAAUGUUAGCAAGCAAUUCAAAUUGAAAACAAGGGCCAGGGAUUUAGCUCAGUGGCUCCACCACCUGCCUCACAUGCGCAAGGACCCAAGUUCGAUCCCCGGUACCAAAAAAAAACCCCAAAAAACAAAUUGAAAACAAAAUAGCUUUGUGAGCCAAGUGAACCAUAAUGUGGAUCUGUAGCACAUAUUUAGGUCCUGGCAACCAGUUGGUGAUCAUUAAUUUUAUAGCAACUGUUCUCAAACUUUUUAGUCUCGGGAUCAUUUUACAUUUUCAAAAAUCAUUAAGGACACUAAAGAGCUUUGUUUUUUGUAUAUUACAUUUAUUGAUAUUUGCCAUAUUUUCUGAGAAUUUUUAAAGAUUUCAUUUAAAAAUAACCUAUUAUAUGUUAAUAAAAGUAAUAUUUGUACAAAAAUUAUAUUUUCCAAAUAAAAAAUAUAGUGACCUUGUUUUAUAUUUUUACAAAUCUCUUUAAUAUUCUCACUUAAGGCAGUUGAAUUCUCACAUCUACUUCUCCAUUCUGUCUAUUGAAAUAUGUUGCCUUGGUGGAAGUUUAUGAAGAAAAUUCAGCCUCAUAAGGCAUUGAUCGUUUGGAAGAUACUGGUUUACUCCAUUAUGAAGAUUUUCCAAAUGUCAGUUUUCAAAAAAUACAUUUCAAGUUCCACGCAGUGAUGCACACUUCUAUUCUCAGCUGUUUAACAAGAGGAUCACAGGUUCAUGACCAACCUGGGCAACUUACUGAGAACCUGUCUCAAAAUUUAAAAAUAAGAAGGGCUAGGGUUAUAACUUAGCACUUUCUAGGCCCAGUCUCCAGUACCACCAAAGUUGCUUCCUUUGAAGCGACAGCCUGAUUUUGUUCAUUUCUGAGAAAAUACCCACAGAAUGCUGAAAUCUGAAUAACCUUAGUUUGUUAAUCAUUCUUUCAAGUAAAAAUAGUAUUACAUUAAAAAAAAAAAAAACUGGGUACAUAGCUCACAGCUCAAGAGUAUUUUUCUUGAGAAAACCAUUCUCCUUUGGCAUGCUUUAUGUCUACUUCACAUUUUGUCAUGUAGAAUGUUAAAAGUACAUCUACUUAGGAGUUGAGAUUUAGCUGGGUGUGGUGGCACAUGCCUGUAAUCCCUGCACCACACCGGGGAGGCUGAGGUGGGAGGAUUGCCACAAGUUCAAGGCCACACAUAGUGAAUUCAAGGCCAGCCUGAACUGCAUAGGAAGACCCUGUCUCAAAAACCCAAAACCAAACAAAGAGUUGAGAUUUAAUAACAAUUUUUACUGCCUUAUCAACAACAUUCUUAUAUAAAAGUAUUGGCUUUUUAAAGCUGCACUUUAAAACUUAGUACCUGCAGGGAUUGGUUUUGGAUAUCCUCUGAUAGCAAGACCUGUGGAUCCUCAAGUACUUUAUAUAAAAUGGCAAAGUAUUUGCAUAUAAUCUAAGCACAUCUUCCUAUGUACUUUAACUCAUCUCUAGGUUACUUAUAAAACCCAGAACAGUGAAAUGCUGUAUAAAUAGUUGUUACGUCUACAGUACUGUUUAGGGAAUAAUGAUGAGAAAAAUAUUCUGUACAUAUUCAGUGCAGAAGCAGUUUUGUUAGUAUUUUUUAUCCAUGUCUGUGGAUAUGGUACCUGUGGAUGUGGAAUUUAAACAAUUGGCAAUAAAUACAAUGACUAUUAAUAUAA